GAUGAACGCUGGCGGCGUGCCUAACACAUGCAAGUCGAACGGAGUUUUGUGAGGGAAGUCUACGGAUGGACGUUAUAAAACUUAGUGGCGGACGGGUGAGUAACGCGUGGGCAACCUGCCGUAUACAGGGGGAUAACAACUGGAAACAGCUGCUAACACCGCAUAAGCGCACGGUACCGCAUGGUACCGAGUGAAAAUCUCCGGAGGUAUACGAUGGGCCCGCGUCUGAUUAGCCAGUUGGUGGGGUAACGGCCUACCAAAGCGACGAUCAGUAGCCGGCCUGAGAGGGUGGACGGCCACAUUGGGACUGAGACACGGCCCAA
RNAcentral lists this ribosomal RNA (323 nucleotides) under uncultured bacterium. Its description in RNAcentral is "bacterial SSU rRNA". It matches the Rfam family "Bacterial small subunit ribosomal RNA", at positions 28 to 334 of the family's 1533-position model. The record is from RNAcentral.